GGACCUGGGACCCACCACCGAACUGCUUGCACCUGGACAGUCUUCUCCAGCAGCAGCAUACAAAGAAACAAGUUGUUUAUUAACUAAGUAGUGUCCAACUCUUUGCAACCCCAUGGACUGCAGCACGCCAGGCUUCCCUGUCCUUCACUAUCUCCUGGAGUUUGCUCAAACUCAUGUGCAUUGAGUCAGUGAUGCCACCCAAUCAUCUCAUCCUCUGCCGCCUGUUUCUCCUCUUGCCUUCAGUCUUUCCCAGGAGUCUUUUCCAGGGCUGCUGGAGCUGCUCAGGGAGUCAUCUUGGCUGCUCUCUGCAAGGACAAUGAUGUGGGGCCAGCAAACAGUUCAAGAACAAGCGUGAGGAGCCUAGGCUGCUGGCUCAGGAAGGACUUUCGAGGCGCC
Long non-coding RNA from Bos taurus (domestic cattle), 396 nucleotides. The record is from Ensembl. Lineage: Eukaryota; Metazoa; Chordata; Mammalia; Artiodactyla; Bovidae.